CAAUUCUUCUCUGUUUUGAAAUAGAAUUUCAUGCCCAGCUUGUUUCACGACAUGUUGAGCUGCUGCCGAUUUUUCACAAAUAAGGCACAAUUUUUACUGCCUUUCACAACAAUACAAAACCUUACGAACACGGCCAAACAACCCAAAAAACCUACAACAACCAUCAGAUUGUGGCCAUGAAAGCCUUCGGGAACACAUAACUUCAUUGACUUUACUGAGUCAUCUUGAAUGAGACAAAUGUCAUAGUUUUGUGACAUGGGCAUUCUUCUUUAUUUCCUUGUUCCCAUGGUUCCAAGAAUGAUGCAAGAGUCAGGUUCCAGUUGUUCAACGCCAACCAUUUGUUGCUAAGGUGCCAACGCAGCUGCUCCUGUAGUUUUAUCUUGAGGCACCCUCCGUUGCUCCCCACUGCCAUUUAGCUUGCUCAGCAAGCAACUUCCAUGGCAUUUCCUUUCCUGUAUUCAUGGUGGCAUGAUUCGAGUCUGGACUGUGUAGAUGAUGUCCCGGAAGAAGAUGUGCAGCUUGACAACAAUGUGGAGGAGGAGGAUGUCUGCUGGUUUUUAGUACAAAUCUUACUUGGUUAUAUUUUCCUUGUUGGCCUUUUAAGGAUCCUCUAUCUCUUUAGGAAUAUGAUAAGGAAAAACCAUGGACAUCUAUCUUGGAAUAGGCUGAAAUGUUCCAAAGGUAAACCUUCAUUCUGCUCCUAUUUCAAAUCAGUAUUAUUAAACAAAUGGCACAGACCAAAUGUUAUUGAACCAAAGAGACAGAGAUCUGGUAGCAAGUUGCCCCCUGAGCUGAUAACAAUUACUUUGAUUAAAUGACUAAAUGGGUCACUAAAUUGUACAUUGACCCGGGUUCCAGACUUGGCUGGGGAGCCGGCUAGUUCUCGGUGACUUUUAAAGCAACUGCUGUUCAAACCUCCUCUAUAAAGACGGUAGAUACACUGUUGACUGAUACUUUAACACAGGGGUUUUAAACUCAAUUUACCUGGGGGCCGCUAGAGGCAGAGUCUGGGUGAGUCUGGGCCGCAUUAGAUUUUCCACCAAGCGGAGCAAGAGCCC
Molecule: long non-coding RNA, 1058 nt
Filed under: Pogona vitticeps (central bearded dragon)
Lineage: Eukaryota; Metazoa; Chordata; Lepidosauria; Squamata; Agamidae
Description: lncRNA (ENSPVIG00000003171.1)
Source: RNAcentral